GCCUCAUCUAGUAUAGUGGUUAUGACGCUCAGUUUGUAAUCGAGUGGGCUUGGGUUCAAAUCCCGAAUAAGGCU
This is a non-coding RNA of Trichonephila clavata, 74 nucleotides long. The record is from the annotation of a GenBank genome assembly. Lineage: Eukaryota; Metazoa; Arthropoda; Arachnida; Araneae; Nephilidae.